Molecule: ribosomal RNA, 826 nt
Filed under: Ophiocordyceps sinensis
Lineage: Eukaryota; Fungi; Ascomycota; Sordariomycetes; Hypocreales; Ophiocordycipitaceae
Description: LSU rRNA
Rfam family: Eukaryotic large subunit ribosomal RNA
Source: RNAcentral
GGGAUUGCCCCAGUAACGGCGAGUGAAGCGGCAACAGCUCAAAUUUGAAAUCUGGCCCCCCCGCGGGCCCGAGUUGUAAUUUGCAGAGGAUGCUUUUGGCGCGGCGCCUUCCGAGUGCCCUGGAACGGGACGCCAUAGAGGGUGAGAGCCCCGUCUGGUCGGACGCCCAGCCUCUGUAAAGCUCCUUCGACGAGUCGAGUAGUUUGGGAAUGCUGCUCUAAACGGGAGGUAUAUGUCUUCCAAAGCUAAAUACCGGCCAGAGACCGAUAGCGCACAAGUAGAGUGAUCGAAAGAUGAAAAGCACUUUGAAAAGAGGGUUAAACAGUACGUGAAAUUGUUGAAAGGGAAGCGCUUGUGACCAGACUCGGGCGCGGCGAAUCACCCGGCGUUCUCGCCGGUGCACUUCGACGCGCCCGGGCCAGCAUCAGCUCGCCGCGGGGGACAAAGGCGCCGGGAACGUGGCUCCCCAGGGAGUGUUAUAGCCCGGCGCGCAACGCCCCGCGGCGGACUGAGGUUCGCGCGUCCGCAAGGAUGCUGGCGUAAUGGUCACCAGUGACCCGUCUUGAAACACGGACCAAGGAGUCGUCCUCGUAUGCGAGUGUUCGGGUGUCAAACCCCUACGCGCAAUGAAAGUGAACGCGGGUGAGAGCCUCGCGGCGCAUCAUCGACCGAUCCUGAUGUUCUCGGAUGGAUUUGAGUAGGAGCAUACGGGGCCGGACCCGAAAGAAGGUGAACUAUGCCUGUGUAGGGUGAAGCCAGAGGAAACUCUGGUGGAGGCUCGCAGCGGUUCUGACGUGCAAAUCGAUCGUCAAACAUGGGCAUGGGG